Molecule: transfer RNA, 72 nt
Filed under: Pelodiscus sinensis (Chinese soft-shelled turtle)
Lineage: Eukaryota; Metazoa; Chordata; Testudines; Trionychidae
Rfam family: tRNA
About the family: Transfer RNA (tRNA) molecules are approximately 80 nucleotides in length.
Source: Rfam by way of RNAcentral
GCAUUGGUGGUGUAGUGGUUAGCUGGGCUGUUUUCCAAACAGUUGGUUUGGGUGUAAUUCCCAGCCAAUGCA